UACGUAGGUGGCGAGCGUUGUCCGGAUUUACUGGGCGUAAAGAGCGCGCAGGCGGUCGGAUCAGUCGAAUGUGAAAGCCCCCGGCUCAACUGGGGAGGGUCAUUCGAUACUGAUCGACUCGAAGGCAGGAGAGGGUAGUGGAAUUCCCGGUGUAGUGGUGAAAUGCGUAGAUAUGGGGUGGAACACCGGUGGCGAAGGCGGCCAUCUGGACGACAACUGACGCUGAGACGCGAAAGCGUGGGGAGCAAACAGG
Molecule: ribosomal RNA, 253 nt
Filed under: uncultured bacterium
Lineage: Bacteria
Description: partial 16S ribosomal RNA
Rfam family: Bacterial small subunit ribosomal RNA
Source: RNAcentral